RNAcentral lists this transfer RNA (72 nucleotides) under Phytomonospora endophytica. RNAcentral's name for it is "Micromonosporaceae bacterium YIM 65646 tRNA". It matches the Rfam family "tRNA". From Rfam's summary of the family: Transfer RNA (tRNA) molecules are approximately 80 nucleotides in length. The record is from Rfam by way of RNAcentral. Lineage: Bacteria; Bacillati; Actinomycetota; Actinomycetes; Micromonosporales; Micromonosporaceae.
GCGCGCGUAGCUCAGUGGGAGAGCAUCCGCCUUACAAGCGGAGGGUCGCAGGUUCGAAACCUGCCGCGCGCA